UUGCUAUUAAUUGAGAAAAAGGGAAACUGUUUAAGAGCUAAAACUAAUGAAUAUAAUAAGUUCCUAUGCCCGAAACUGGAGGAACAAGUUCCUGUGCUCGAAACUGGAGGAACAAGUGCUGUGUAGGAUGCUCUACUCUGAGUAACAGGUUGGACUUAUUACAAGUAAGAUCCCGUCAGGUGAAAAGGUGGAGUAGUACCUAAAGCUUAAAAACAAUAAAUAAUAAUAAAAUAUAAUAAAGCUUGAAGGUAGUUGCCCCUGAGUUGAUGUUGAAAAGCUUUGGAUCUCUUGAAAAGAAAUAGCCCCCCCUAGUCUGAAAUUCUAGUUAAGUCCAAAAUUAUAGGAAAAGAAUGACUGUUGGUGUAAGCCCUAGAGGCCAAUUAUUUAUAAUUGCAUGAUACUUGUAUUGGAUAUUUUACUUAUUAAAUAAAGGCUUUUCUUUAUUAUGUUUAUGUGUUAAAUAAUAAUAGAGUCCCUAGAAUAGUAAGUUCAUUGUAUGGAACGUUAAGUAUGACUUAAUUGUGAGAUUCCAUUACAUAUAAGAACACUAUUCUUAAACAUAUCCAUAGUCAAGCUUUAUUGU
RNAcentral lists this long non-coding RNA (583 nucleotides) under Trifolium pratense (red clover). RNAcentral's name for it is "long non-coding RNA (TPRA_LNC010453)". Lineage: Eukaryota; Viridiplantae; Streptophyta; Magnoliopsida; Fabales; Fabaceae. The record is from RNAcentral.